GUAAGUCUCCAAAAUGUGUUCAUGAAACUUGCAGAAACCAGUGUACAUGUUUAACGACUCAAUUUCUGCUUCGGGAAUGCAGAAGCCGAGAAACUCCAGUGUCCUUUGGGAUGAGGUAGUAGAUUGUAUAGUUUUAGGGUCAUACCCGAUCUCGGAGAUAACUAUACAUUCUACUGUCUUCCCAUGGUGUCACCAUCUGCUACACCAGAGCUGAAGUGUGAUCUUUAAGAGGUGUCACAACCAUCUUUGAGGCGAUGCAUGUUUGAGCAGGCAUUAAUCAUUCAUCUGAUACAUGAAUACUGUAGGAUUCCUUCAGCCUUUGCAUUUGUAACUUUUUGUUGCUGUCUUUUUUCAGGUGAAAGUCAAGUGAAUUUUGUGCAGACGUAAACAUUCUGGCACAGUGGUUUUGAGAAUGAAUAAAAGAUGUAUUACACGUGGUGGUAAUGCCAUGCCCAAUGAGGCGGUUUGCAGGGAUGAGACAUAAUUUUGCUUUGGGUUUUGUUAUUAGUGAGUCCGACUCGGCCUUUAGUCUUCUGUGCUCAAUAAACUGAGUAGCAUUGAGCGGGGUCAGAAAAUAAUUAGUUUAGUUGGUCUCCAAAAGCAUGGAGACUUGCCUCCCCUGCAUAAACUUUGUCCUGAUUAAUCAGGCAAUAUUUCAAAGUUACAGUUCAAUUAAAUUGAUUCAUUGUUUAAACCCAGGUUUAUUAUAAUAUACUAUUUCACAACUUCUGGUUCUUCCAUCAUCUUCUCUUUAAUUCCAAUUUACUGGGUACACAAACCCAACACGUUUCAGGAGCAAGCUCCCUUCUUGGGGGGGGGGGGGGGGGGGCGGGGUUCUGCAACAUCCAAAAGUAACAGUUUAGUAUCUCACCAUGAGAGGUUAAAAGUCAGGAAAUUAACAGUCCAUUAUAUACUUGGUUACAAAGCAGUGUGGGAGCCCCUCUACUUAGAACGAACAUGGGUCAAAAUACAAUGUUCUAUGAAAUUUCUUACACUGAGGAGGGGUCUGCAACCACGUUUUAGCUCACUGCACACUUAAUAGAUGAGAAAUAUCCCUUUACUUAUCAGUCUUUGUCCCACCCACAAGGGCAGUCCAGCACCGAAAUGCUAGGCAAAUCUCCUCUAAACAAGAGUGCCAUCAGCAACCCCAGGCAUGUUUUUCGUAUUAGUUGGGCCUCCUCAGUGAGGUGAAGCUGAGCGUCUCUUAAGGCAGUGAGAAAGGAGUCCACUCCUGGGUUACUUAGAGUGAAACCCCACAUUUUACAAAGUUACAAAGGAGUGUGGUAGCCCCUCUACUGAGAACUAUAUACUUACAUCUAUUACAUAUACAUUAUUGUCGUCAGUAUGGUAUUUUUUUAAAUAAACAUCCACUUCCUAUGUUGUAAUAUCAAAUGAAUCCACCUAAUAUUAAGUAGUGCGAUAUUCUACUACUUCAUACCUCUUAGUGCCUAAUUAUAGCCCAUAGUGCACUAGUACACAAACUAUAUAAGCCUUGAUAACAUAUGAUCCUUCUUGAUGCCAGAAAGAAAUUACAGCAAGAGAAAAGGGCUCAAAACACUCAAGUUAUAUUUAUUAGUACAGCUAGCAUUCGCACUACCAUUCUAAUCUCUUGAUAGGUGACAGCGAUACAGAACAAUUGUUACAUAAAGAUUCUUGUUUGCUCUUUCUGCAGAUGUUGGUAGGUCCCCUAACCUCCAAAUUCCCCCCACACCCAUACCUUUUUCCUGGCAUCUUGGAAUCCUGACCGAUAUUUGCUGACACACAUAUACUGGAUACCAUGAAAGGUGCAGCGGUUUUGGUGUGGUUCUAGAUAGCUUAUUGUUAGGUUUCCUAAAGUCUACCAACAGGUGAGACUCUAUGAAACGGUUCUACGUUAUUUCGCCAAACGAAAUUUCAUCGUGGACUUUUCAUCGCCGGCCCUUUCAUCGCCAACAUUUUUUUUUUUAAAUGUAUUUAUGGGGGGGGAUGCGCCCCCCAAAUACCCCUCUUAAUUAAAUAAUCGUACCCCAACCCGCACAAACACCCCCCUCCCCCCCCCCCUUAAUAAUAUUUUUUUAAAAAAAA
RNAcentral lists this long non-coding RNA (2064 nucleotides) under Ambystoma mexicanum (axolotl). Its description in RNAcentral is "pri-let-7f-2". The stretch from base 106 to 186 matches the Rfam family "let-7 microRNA precursor family". Lineage: Eukaryota; Metazoa; Chordata; Amphibia; Caudata; Ambystomatidae. The record is from RNAcentral.